AGAGUUUGAUCCUGGCUCAGGACGAACGCUGGCGGCGUGCUUAACACAUGCAAGUCGAACGGAAAGGCCCUUCGGGGUACUCGAGUGGCGAACGGGUGAGUAACACGUGGGUGAUCUGCCCUGCACUUUGGGAUAAGCCUGGGAAACUGGGUCUAAUACCGAAUAUGACCAUGCACUUCCUGGUGUGUGGUGGAAAGCUUUUGCAGUGUGGGAUGGGCCCGCGGCCUAUCAGCUUGUUGGUGGGGUAAUGGCCUACCAAGGCGACGACGGGUAGCCGGCCUGAGAGGGUGACCGGCCACACUGGGACUGAGAUACGGCCCAGACUCCUACGGGAGGCAGCAGUGGGGAAUAUUGCACAAUGGGCGCAAGCCUGAUGCAGCGACGCCGCGUGAGGGAUGACGGCCUUCGGGUUGUAAACCUCUUUCAGCACAGACGAAGCGCAAGUGACGGUAUGUGCAGAAGAAGGACCGGCCAACUACGUGCCAGCAGCCGCGGUAAUACGUAGGGUCCGAGCGUUGUCCGGAAUUACUGGGCGUAAAGAGCUCGUAGGUGGUUUGUCGCGUUGUUCGUGAAAACUCACAGCUUAACUGUGGGCGUGCGGGCGAUACGGGCAGACUUGAGUACUGCAGGGGAGACUGGAAUUCCUGGUGUAGCGGUGGAAUGCGCAGAUAUCAGGAGGAACACCGGUGGCGAAGGCGGGUCUCUGGGCAGUAACUGACGCUGAGGAGCGAAAGCGUGGGGAGCGAACAGGAUUAGAUACCCUGGUAGUCC
Molecule: ribosomal RNA, 771 nt
Filed under: uncultured bacterium
Lineage: Bacteria
Description: bacterial SSU rRNA
Rfam family: Bacterial small subunit ribosomal RNA
Source: RNAcentral